RNAcentral lists this ribosomal RNA (468 nucleotides) under uncultured bacterium. Its description in RNAcentral is "partial 16S ribosomal RNA". It matches the Rfam family "Bacterial small subunit ribosomal RNA", at positions 28 to 507 of the family's 1533-position model. The record is from RNAcentral.
GACGAACGCUGGCGGCGUGCUUAACACAUGCAAGUCGAACGGAAAGGCCCUGCUUUUGUGGGGUGCUCGAGUGGCGAACGGGUGAGUAACACGUGAGUAACCUGCCCUUGACUUUGGGAUAACUUCAGGAAACUGGGGCUAAUACCGGAUAGGAGCUCCUGCUGCAUGGUGGGGGUUGGAAAGUUUCGGCGGUUGGGGAUGGACUCGCGGCUUAUCAGCUUGUUGGUGGGGUAGUGGCUUACCAAGGCUUUGACGGGUAGCCGGCCUGAGAGGGUGACCGGCCACAUUGGGACUGAGAUACGGCCCAGACCCCUACGGGAGGCAGCAGUGGGGAAUAUUGCACAAUGGGCGGAAGCCUGAUGAAGCAACGCCGCGUGCGGGAUGACGGCCUUCGGGUUGUAAACCGCUUUCGCCUGUGACGAAGCGUGAGUGACGGUAAUGGGUAAAGAAGCACCGGCUCACUACGUG